CAGUCGCCACGGGAAUACGUAGGUGGCAAGCGUUGUCCGGAAUUAUUGGGCGUAAAGCGCGCGCAGGUGGUUUAAUAAGUCUGAUGUGAAAGCCCACGGCUCAACCGUGGAGGGUCAUUGGAAACUGUUAAACUUGAGUGCAGGAGAGAAAAGUGGAAUUCCUAGUGUAGCGGUGAAAUGCGUAGAUAUAUGGAGGAACACCGGUGGCGAAAGCGGCUCUCUGGCUUGUAACUGACGCUGAGGCUCGAAAGCGUGGGGCGCAAACAGGAUUAGAUACCCGCGUAGUCCCUGUCUCUUAUAC
Molecule: ribosomal RNA, 301 nt
Filed under: uncultured bacterium
Lineage: Bacteria
Description: partial 16S ribosomal RNA
Rfam family: Bacterial small subunit ribosomal RNA
Source: RNAcentral